Molecule: ribosomal RNA, 785 nt
Filed under: uncultured Neocallimastigales
Lineage: Eukaryota; Fungi; Neocallimastigomycota; Neocallimastigomycetes; Neocallimastigales
Description: partial large subunit ribosomal RNA
Rfam family: Eukaryotic large subunit ribosomal RNA
Source: RNAcentral
UAUCUCUGUAGAGUCUGCAUAUCAAUAAGCGGAGGAAAAGAAACUAACUAGGAUUCCCUUAGCUAACGGCGAGUGAAGCGGGAAGAGCUCAAAUUUGAAAUCUUCAAGGUUCUACCUUGACGAAUUGUAGUUUAAAGAAGUGUUUUCUGUUGGAGUUUUGGUAAAAGUUCUUUGGAAUAGGACAUCAUAGAGGGUGAGAAUCCCGUAUUUGACCAUUAUUUCCAGCUUUGUGAUACACUUUCAAAGAGUCGGAUUGUUUGGGAAUGCAGUCCAAAAUGGGUGGUAAAUUUCAUCUAAAGCUAAAUAUUGGCGAGAGACCGAUAGCGAACAAGUACCGUGAGGGAAAGAUGAAAAGAACUUUGAAAAGAGAGUUAAACAGUACGUGAAAUUGUCAAAAGGGAAGCGUUUGACACCAGUGUUGUUCUCUCGAAAAUCAAUUAAAAAAGUCAGGAUUUUGUAUUGUAAUUGACCUUUAUCAGCUUACUGCUACUCUUUUCUUGUCUUUUUUUAAUGCACUUCUCGUUUAACAAGUCAACAUCAAUUUCUUUUGUUGUAAAAGAGUCAUUGGAAGGUGGCUUUCACUUUCGGUGAACGUGUUUAUAGCCUUUGGCCUCUGCAAUCGGAGAGAUUGAGGUCCUGCAGCGUAGAUCCUUCGGGGUUAGAUACAGUUAGAUGCUAAGUUAUAGCCUUUUCAUAGACAACUUGUUGACUAUAAUCAGUCAUGUAGCUUACUCGCUUAUGGCUAUUUUACCUACGCUUAGGAUGUUGAUAGUCACAGCGUGUAC